GCUUUUUCCCCCCAGGCCUGUUGGUGUAUACUACAGAGAAGCUUACAUGGUCUUGGGGGUGAAAGGC
Molecule: non-coding RNA, 67 nt
Organism: Salmo salar (Atlantic salmon)
Lineage: Eukaryota; Metazoa; Chordata; Actinopteri; Salmoniformes; Salmonidae
Source: Rfam